GAUGAACGCUGGCGGCGUGCCUAAUACAUGCAAGUCGAGCGAACGGACGAUAAGCUCGCUCCUCUGAUGUUAGCGGCGGACGGGUGAGUAACACGUGGAUAACCUACCUAUAAGACUGGGAUAACUUCGGGAAACCGUAGCUAAUACCGGAUAAUAUUUUGAACCGCAUGGUUCAAAAGUGAAAGACGGUCUUGCUGUCACUUAUAGAUGGAUCCGCGCUGCAUUAGCUAGUUGGUAAGGUAACGGCUUACCAAGGCAACGAUGCAUAGCCGACCUGAGAGGAUGAUCAGCCACACUGGAACUGAGACACGGUCCAGACUCCUACGGGAGGCAGCAGUAGGGAAUCUUCCGCAAUGGGCGAAAGCCUGACGGAGCCACGCCGCGUGGGUGAUGAAGGUCUUCGGAUCGUAAAACUCUGUUAUUAGGGAAGAACAUAUGUGUAAGUAACUGUGCACAUCUUGACGGUACCUAAUCAGAAAGCCACGGCUAACUACGUG
This 497-nucleotide ribosomal RNA is filed under the name uncultured bacterium. RNAcentral's name for it is "partial 16S ribosomal RNA". It matches the Rfam family "Bacterial small subunit ribosomal RNA", at positions 28 to 507 of the family's 1533-position model. The record is from RNAcentral.